AUUGAACGCUGGCGGAAUGCUUUACACAUGCAAGUCGAACGGCAGCACGGACUUCGGUCUGGUGGCGAGUGGCGAACGGGUGAGUAAUGUAUCGGAACGUGCCCAGUCGUGGGGGAUAACGUAGUGAAAAUUACGCUAAUACCGCAUACGAUCUAUGGAUGAAAGCGGGGGAUCGCAAGACCUAGCGCGAUUGGAGCGGCCGAUAUCAGAUUAGGUAGUUGGUGGGGUAAAGGCUCACCAAGCCAACGAUCUGUAGCUGGUCUGAGAGGACGACCAGCCACACUGGAACUGAGACACGGUCCAGACUCCUACGGGAGGCAGCAGUGGGGAAUUUUGGACAAUGGGCUAAAGCCUGAUCCAGCCAUUCCGCGUGCAGGAUGAAGGCCCUCGGGUUGUAAACUGCUUUUGUACAGAACGAAAAGGUUUCUACUAAUACUAGGAGCUCAUGACGGUACUGUAAGAAUAAGCACCGGCUAACUACGUGCCAGCCGCCGCGGUAA
Molecule: ribosomal RNA, 500 nt
Filed under: uncultured bacterium
Lineage: Bacteria
Description: partial 16S ribosomal RNA
Rfam family: Bacterial small subunit ribosomal RNA
Source: RNAcentral